GACGAAGGUGGCGAGCGUUGUUCGGAAUCACUGGGCUUAAAGCGCACGUAGGCGGUCCUUCAAGUGCCUUGUGAAAUCCCUCGGCUCAACCGAGGAAUUGCUUGGUAGACUGUUGGACUUGAGGCAGGUAGGGGCGAGUGGAACUCUUGGUGGAGCGGUGGAAUGCGUAGAUAUCAAGAGGAACGCCGAUGGUGAAGACAACUCGCUGGGCCUGUCCUGACGCUGAGGUGCGAAAGCCAGGGGAGCAAACGGG
RNAcentral lists this ribosomal RNA (253 nucleotides) under uncultured bacterium. RNAcentral's name for it is "partial 16S ribosomal RNA". It matches the Rfam family "Bacterial small subunit ribosomal RNA", at positions 524 to 776 of the family's 1533-position model. The record is from RNAcentral.